GUGGCGAACGGGUGAGUAACACGUGGGUAAUCUGCCCUGUACUCUGGGAUAAGCCUGGGAAACUGGGUCUAAUACCGGAUACGACUUCCUGCCGCAUGGUGGUGGGUGGAAAGCUUUUGUGGUGUGAGAUGAGCCCGCGGCCUAUCAGCUUGUUGGUGGGGUGAUGGCCUACCAAGGCGACGACGGGUAGCCGGCCUGAGAGGGUGUCCGGCCACACUGGGACUGAGACACGGCCCAGACUCCUACGGGAGGCAGCAGUUGGGAAUAUUGCACAAUGGGCGGAAGCCUGAUGCAGCGACGCCGCGUGAGGGAUGACGGCCUUCGGGUUGUAAACCUCUUUCACCAAGGACGAAGCGGGAGUGACGGUACUUGGGGAAGAAGCACCGGCUAACUACGUGCCAGCAGCCGCGGUAAUACGUAGGGUGCGAGCGUUGUCCGGAAUUAUUGGGCGUAAAGAGCUCGUAGGCGGCUCGUUGCGUCUACCGUGAAAACUGGAGGCUUAACCUUCAGCUUGCGGUGGAUACGGGCGGGCUUGAGUUCGGUAGGGGAGACUGGAAUUCCUGGUGUAGCGGUGAAAUGCGCAGAUAUCAGGAGGAACACCGGUGGCGAAGGCGGGUCUCUGGGCCGAUACUGACGCUGAGGAGCGAAAGC
Molecule: ribosomal RNA, 651 nt
Filed under: uncultured Pseudonocardineae bacterium
Lineage: Bacteria; Bacillati; Actinomycetota; Actinomycetes; Pseudonocardiales
Description: bacterial SSU rRNA
Rfam family: Bacterial small subunit ribosomal RNA
Source: RNAcentral